GGAUGUGGUGGCACCCACCUGUACUUCUAGCUACCUGGGAAGCUGAGGCUGGGGGAUCUCUUGAGCUUGGGAGUUCUAAACUAUAGUGGGCUAGCUAACUCAGUUUCCCCACUAAGUCCACAUCAAUAUGAUGAGCCCCCUGGAGUGGGGGGGGGGCCACUAGGUUGCCUAAGGAAGGGUGAACUGGCCAAGAUCAGAAACAGCAAGUCAAUGCCCCUGUGCUGAUCGGUAGUGGAUCAGGCUCCUGAGUAGCCCCUGCAUUUCCAGCUUGAGUGAGAUGGGGAGACCCAUACUUUA
Molecule: unclassified non-coding RNA, 297 nt
Organism: Vombatus ursinus (common wombat)
Lineage: Eukaryota; Metazoa; Chordata; Mammalia; Diprotodontia; Vombatidae
Rfam family: Metazoan signal recognition particle RNA
About the family: The signal recognition particle (SRP) is a universally conserved ribonucleoprotein. It is involved in the co-translational targeting of proteins to membranes.
Source: Ensembl